AAAGGAUCAAAACAAUUUGUCCUUUAGAGUUUUUGGGCCUUAACGUAAAAACGUAAACUUUUAGGCCAAAGUGCAAAUACACAAAAGUAUCAAAACUUUAUGUAAUUACAUAAAAGGCCCCAAAAGUACCCCCACUAGGGGGUGGCCGGCCUUUAGAGAAGAUAUGAAAAAUUUUCUAAAAAGUUUUUGCAAGUUGAUUUUGGUGGGUGAGGUAAAGGUGAAAUUGAUGGUUUGUAAGAAAACUUAAAGUCUGACAAACAUUAAAACCAUUUCAUCACAUCUCACCAAUAACCAUCAACCAUCAAAUAAUAAACCAAAACUUUAUGAAAAACAUAAAACUUUUGAAUCAAAACUUCAAACCUUUUUUUUCUUGGCAAGAACUUCAAGAACAUUGAAGAACACUCAUGAAAACUCAUAAUAGCUCCAUGAAUGUUUUCACUCACCAAAACUCAAUUUUUCACCACUCAAAACAGGGCUAAUAUCCUAGGGUACUUAGGGGUUCCAAAAGUCACUUUAAAACCAUUUUAACAAGACAAACAUGAACCCAAAAAUCACCCUUUGGAUUUGGCCGAAUUUCCCAACAUACAUGGCACCAAAUUUUAGUUCCAAUAUUCAUGCUU
RNAcentral lists this long non-coding RNA (620 nucleotides) under Malus domestica (apple). RNAcentral's name for it is "long non-coding RNA (MDOM_LNC020556)". Lineage: Eukaryota; Viridiplantae; Streptophyta; Magnoliopsida; Rosales; Rosaceae. The record is from RNAcentral.